UUGGGAAUCUUGGACAAUGGGGGAAACCCUGAUCCAGCCAUGCCGCGUGAGUGAUGAAGGCCUUCGGGUUGUAAAACUCUUUCGGCGGGGACGAUAAUGACGGUACCCGCAGAAGAAGCUCCGGCUAACUUCGUGCCAGCAGCCGCGGUAAUACGAAGGGGGCUAGCGUUGUUCGGAAUUACUGGGCGUAAAGCGCGCGCAGGCGGCUAUCCAAGUCAGUGGUGAAAGCCCGGAGCUCAACUCCGGAACUGCCAUUGAAACUGUUUAGCUUGAGGACGAGAGAGGUGAGUGGAAUUCCCAGUGUAGAGGUGAAAUUCGUAGAUAUUGGGAAGAACACCGGUGGCGAAGGCGGCUCACUGGCCCGUUUCUGACGCUCAGGCGCGAUAGCGUGGGGAUCAAACA
This 402-nucleotide ribosomal RNA is filed under the name uncultured bacterium. Its description in RNAcentral is "bacterial SSU rRNA". It matches the Rfam family "Bacterial small subunit ribosomal RNA", at positions 355 to 774 of the family's 1533-position model. The record is from RNAcentral.